Molecule: RNA transcript, 1933 nt
Organism: Salvia miltiorrhiza (redroot sage)
Lineage: Eukaryota; Viridiplantae; Streptophyta; Magnoliopsida; Lamiales; Lamiaceae
Gene name: mitochondrial inner membrane protease ATP23-like
Exons: 7
Source: RefSeq, a predicted model, not a curated record
CCGAUCCAUUGCUUAAUGGAUCCACACCAGACCAGACCAUUAAGUGAAAAAUUAAAUGGUGUGGGUAGGUUAAUUACCCAUGGGUAUUAUAAGACCCAUAGACCCAAUAAUACCCAUUACCAAACUAAAAAAAGCCCAAAAAAGACCAAAAAAGCCCAUGGUCUCAACUCUCAAACUCUCAAAUCUCAAUUCUCGUCUGAAUUUGAAAAUUGGAUCUGCACGCAGCCCGGCAACCGCUUCACGCUCACCUCAAUUCCUCCGCCGCCGCUGCUCGCCUCCGCCGCCGAUUGGUGUCGCCUCGCUGCUGAUUGUUGUCGCGCUCUCCGGAAUUCGCUUCUCUCCGCCGCUUCGGGAGUUCCUGCCCUCUCCGCCGCACGCCGCCGCGAAGCUCGCCGCGCCGGGAGUUCCUGCGCUCUCCGCCGCACGCCGCUCCUCAAGAUUGGCCACGCCACACAUUCUUCUCCUCUGUCGCACAUUCAGCUUCUCCGCCUGCAUCUCCCCGUGCCACCACGCCCAACCAACGCCACACCUCCCAGCGUCGCCUCAACCCCGGUUAAAUCGCCGAUUGCUCAUCGCUGGAAUAAUUUGGCCGGAUCAUAUUUGGCGUCUCCUUCACUGAAGGCAAAACCUAGGGCGGGCGGUGAAAUCUGCUGGGACGCUCUUCACACCUUCGUCUCUUUAAAUCUCUUCCACAUUCCUUCUGAGGCAAAUAUCUAUCGGGAGGAGAAAAACUUGAUCGACUUGUAUGUUAUACUGCUAAGAUAUUCAAGCCGCACGCGCACACCUUCUCUCUCUGCACAUACGCCGCCCUUCCUCUCCUUCUCGUCGCCGCUGCAGAUCCGUCGUCCUUUCCCUCUCGCCGCCGCCCCUAAUUGGUAUUUUGUUUUUGUGCAUUUUCCGUGUUAUUAUUAUAAUUUCAAAUGGUUCUCUCCCACAGUCAUAGAAGAAACAAAUCUUUGGAAUUGAGGAGUUGAUGGAGACGAUGGGAGACGAAGAUGUUGGUUCCACGCCAUCAUCUGCUACUGCUGAGUCGCCCUCCUCUGUCCCUCCCCCGCUCGGAAUGACGCUGGAGCUAUGCCGGAAUAAUAUCCAGAAAGCUUUACACAAUCCAAAGGUGAAAACUCUGAUGGAGAGUAUGGAGAAAUCUGGAUGCAAAAUCGGAGAGAAUUUCUUCAAGGCUAAAUAUUGCAGUGGUGUACACGCCGGUCAUUUCAGCAGGGGGCAAGGGAUUGGAAUAUGUUGUAAUUACAUGGGACAUAAUGACUAUUUGGUACAAGCAAUGAUUCAUGAGCUCAUUCACGCAUAUGAUGACUGUCGUGCUGCUAAUAUGGAAUGGGAUAGCGCCGCUCAUCAAGCUUGCAGUGAGAUUCGAGCUAAUCAUCUCAGUGGAGAUUGCCAUAUUGUCAGAGAGUUUCUUCGCGGUAAUCUGAAGUUGAAGUUGAAUGAGAUAAAAGCUCAUGAGCCAAGAAGUAAGAAACAAGAAGUCUUAUUUUCCAAGCAAGCCAAGUGAAGAAGACAUGUGUGAAGAUUAAGGGAUUUUGAUUAAGGGAUUUUGAUUCCUGCUUGAUAGAAAUGUGUGAAGAAAAGAGCAGCUCGAUCGGUGGCUGCAUGUGGCCAUUCACCAACUACAACAGAGGCAGCCAUUGAAGGUGUUUGGGAUACUUGUUACAAUGACAAAGCGCCCUUUGAUCCAGCUCCUUGAGUCCUCUUCUCUUGCUUGGGAAUAAAACUUCUCUUGUUGAUUAGAAUGAAUUGUUGAAUGCAUUUCAAUAACAGAUAUGAGGCAAUGAUGCAUUCUAUUAUCUGAGUUUACAUUCUUGAAAUCAUUAGAACUCCAUUUAAUAUAGCUAUUGAUACCACUUUUUAAACUGUAAAAGGAAAAAGAAAAAAACACAAUUGCAUUGUUCUCUAAAUAGAUUGUUCAUUUCCAGAA